Acanthosepion pharaonis is the source of this 84-nucleotide non-coding RNA. The record is from the annotation of a GenBank genome assembly. NCBI's taxonomy places the organism in Eukaryota, Metazoa, Mollusca, Cephalopoda, Sepiida, Sepiidae.
AAAACCGGUUCCCGUAUGAUCACCGGAGUUAAGCAACGUCGAGCAUGGUAAGUACCUUGUUGGGUGACCACGUGGGAAUAACAG